GUCGAUGAUGACCUGGAGUCGAUAGGCGGUCGACAGCCGAAUAUGUGUCAGCAGUUGAUCGGUUUAAUCCAGAUCUCGUUGAUUACGAAAGAUUUAUUCAUAAAACUGAUAGUUACUUCGCUUUUAUUAGACCAAUCGGGACACGUGUCCGUAUUAUGUGGUAACUCUGUAUAACUUUGGGCUGAUCGUGCGAGCUCGUCCCAGCGAUGCAUCUUCCUAGUGUCUGCCUUAUCAAGUGGAUGGUAGAUUACGCGCCUACCAUGGUCGUAAGGGUGACAGUGAAUCAGGGUUUGAUUCCGAAGAGGGAGUCUGAGAAAUGGCUACCACAUCCAAGGAAGGCA
Molecule: ribosomal RNA, 341 nt
Filed under: Stegodyphus mimosarum
Lineage: Eukaryota; Metazoa; Arthropoda; Arachnida; Araneae; Eresidae
Description: eukaryotic small subunit ribosomal RNA
Rfam family: Eukaryotic small subunit ribosomal RNA
Source: RNAcentral